GACGAACGCUGGCGGCGUGCUUAACACAUGCAAGUCGUACGGUAAGGCCCUUUCGGGGGUCCACGAGUGGCGCACGGGUGCGUAACACGUGAGUAACCUGCCCACAACUUUGGGAUAACGCUAGGAAACUGGUGCUAAUACUGGAUAUGUGCUCCUGCUGCAUGGUGGGGGUUGGAAAGCUCCGGCGGUUGUGGAUGGACUCGCGGCCUAUCAGCUUGUUGGUGGGGUAGUGGCCUACCAAGGCGGCGACGGGUAGCCGGCCUGAGAGGGUGACCGGCCACAUUGGGACUGAGAGACGGCCCAGACGCCUACGGGAGGCAGCAGUGGGGAAUAUUGCACAAGGGGCGCAAGCCGGAUGCAGCAACGCCGCGGGCGGGAUGACGGCCUUCGGGUUGUAAACCGCUUUCAGCAGGGACGAAGCUUUUUGUGACGGUACCUGCAGAAGAAGCACCGGCUAACUACGUG
This 465-nucleotide ribosomal RNA is filed under the name uncultured bacterium. Its description in RNAcentral is "partial 16S ribosomal RNA". It matches the Rfam family "Bacterial small subunit ribosomal RNA", at positions 28 to 507 of the family's 1533-position model. The record is from RNAcentral.